AUUGAACGCUGGCGUCAGGCCUAACACAUGCAAGUCGAACGAGUGGCGGACGGGUUAGUAAUGUCUGGGAAACUGCCUGAUGGAUGGGGAUCACUACUGGAAACGGUAGCUACUACCGCAUACCAUCGGAUGUGCCCAGAUGGGAUUCGCUAGUAGGUGGGGUAAAGGCUCACAUAGGCGACGAUCCCUAGCUGGUCUGAGAGGAUGACCAGUCAAACUGGAACUGAGACACGGGCCAGACUCCUACGGGAGGCAGCAGUGGGGAAUAGUGGACAAUGGGCGAAAGCCUGAUGAAGCCAUGCCGAGUGUAUGAAGAAGGUCUUCGGAUUGUAAAGAACUUUCAGCGGGGAGGCGUUACCAGCAGAAUAAGCACCGGCUAACUUCGUGCCAGCAGCCGCGGUAAUAC
RNAcentral lists this ribosomal RNA (406 nucleotides) under uncultured bacterium. RNAcentral describes it as "partial 16S ribosomal RNA". It matches the Rfam family "Bacterial small subunit ribosomal RNA", at positions 30 to 526 of the family's 1533-position model. The record is from RNAcentral.